CCUACGGGAGGCUGCAGUGAGGAAUAUUGGUCAAUGGACGAGAGUCUGAACCAGCCAAGUAGCGUGAAGGAUGACUGCCCUAUGGGUUGUAAACUUCUUUUAUAUGGGAAUAAAACGUUCCACGUGUGGGAUUUUGUAUGUACCAUAUGAAUAAGGAUCGGCUAACUCCGUGCCAGCAGCCGCGGUAAUACGGAGGAUCCGAGCGUUAUCCGGAUUUAUUGGGUUUAAAGGGAGCGUAGGUGGAUUGUUAAGUCAGUUGUGAAAGUUUGCGGCUCAACCGUAAAAUUGCAGUUGAAACUGACAGUCUUGAGUACAGUAGAGGUGGGCGGAAUUCGUGGUGUAGCGGUGAAAUGCUUAGAUAUCACGAAGAACUCCGAUUGCGAAGGCAGUUCACUGGACUGCAACUGACACUGAGGCUCGAAAGUGUGGGUAUCAAACAGGAUUAGAUACCCUGGUAGUC
RNAcentral lists this ribosomal RNA (460 nucleotides) under uncultured bacterium. RNAcentral describes it as "partial 16S ribosomal RNA". It matches the Rfam family "Bacterial small subunit ribosomal RNA", at positions 338 to 795 of the family's 1533-position model. The record is from RNAcentral.